UUAUGUGUGUGUUACAUCCAAGUAUUGCAUGUAAUUCUAUAAUUUAUCAUUCAUAUCUAAAUUUUAAAUUAUAUAAUUAAUUAAGAUUAAAACAUGUUUGAUAGAAAAGAGGAAAAGAUAACUAAAUUGCAUUAUUUCAUAAAGAGAAAAUGAGAAUUACAAAAAAAAAAAACUUCCAAAAACAAAUAGGAAAAAAGAAAUGAAAAAACCAAGAUAUACAGUCAUAUAAAAAAUAUAAUUUUCUCCAUGCUCUUUUUGAGUCAUAUUCCUAGAGUCUGCCGUAAAACCUUGGAAAUUUUUUUGUUUGAUUUAUUUAAUUUAUUUAUCCACUAAAAAAGUAAAUUAAUAAUUAC
This 353-nucleotide long non-coding RNA is filed under the name Salvia miltiorrhiza (redroot sage). RNAcentral's name for it is "long non-coding RNA (SMIL_LNC010272)". Lineage: Eukaryota; Viridiplantae; Streptophyta; Magnoliopsida; Lamiales; Lamiaceae. The record is from RNAcentral.